Long non-coding RNA from Gekko japonicus, 354 nucleotides. RefSeq lists it as uncharacterized. Lineage: Eukaryota; Metazoa; Chordata; Lepidosauria; Squamata; Gekkonidae. The record is from RefSeq and is a predicted model, not a curated record. The transcript has 4 exons.
GAGUCGUAGAUUGAGAGAUUCUCCAGCAUGAAGAUGUCCCAUACCUUAUUGAUCCAUUGAGACAGUGUUGGUCCACCAACAAUGGAGGAAAUCCGCCUUCUCUCCACAUCCUUUCCAGCAAAGCGGUGAAGUUGAGGGGAGAAUGUGGGAUAAUCUUGCUGGUGUGAGGUACCAUCUGGCAGCCAAUAAGGAGAUACAUUGACCUCGUAUAACUGCUUUGGAGGCAUCCCAUACGGAUGAUUCUUUUACAAUAGUAAUAUUGAGCACUGAGCUUAAGGGGCCUAAGCGGAUGUGGGCCGGAGACCAGUUCCCAGGCGGUGGCCCUGGCCGAAGGCUUCCUCCUGAGUCAGGUCG